CUGGCGGCACGCCUAACACAUGCAAGUCGAACGCAGUAGCAAUACUGAGUGGCAAACGGGUGAGUAUAAUGUGGGAAUCUGCCUUUUGGUUUGGAAUAACACGGGGAAACUUGUGCUAAUACCGAAUAAGCCCUUACGGGGAAAGUUUUAACGCCGAAAGAUGAGCCUGCACUUGAUUAGCUAGUUGGUAAGGUAAAGGCUUACCAAGGCUACGAUCAAUAGCUGUUCUUAGAGGAAGACCAGCCACAUUGGGACUGAGACACGGCCCAGACUCCUACGGGAGGCAGCAGUGGGGAAUCUUGCACAAUGGGGGAAACCCUGAUGCAGCGAUGCCGCGUGAGUGAAGAAGGCCCUUGGGUUGUAAAACUCUUUCGUCGGGGAAGA
RNAcentral lists this ribosomal RNA (384 nucleotides) under uncultured bacterium. RNAcentral describes it as "bacterial SSU rRNA". It matches the Rfam family "Bacterial small subunit ribosomal RNA", at positions 36 to 448 of the family's 1533-position model. The record is from RNAcentral.